AAUGUGCUUCUAGUCCUAGGUGAAAAGUCGAGGCUUUUUUCUAAGGAUGAUCUUGGUGGCCCCAUGUAGGUUGGCGUAGGCUACUACUCCUUUGGUUGAUAGGUUUUACAAGGUUGGGAUGACUUGCAUUGGCAGGUGAGGGAGGAGGUUGAGAAACUAGGACAAGAGCUUUACAAGAAGACAUGUGAGCCUUAAAUAAUGACCGAGACUCCUCCAAUAGGGAAUUGCUGGCACCUCUUGAAACUGGAUGAGAUGGGUCGAUUUCUCGAGUCCUUAUUAUAUUCUUUCGAGUCUAACAAAUGCAAAGACCGGAGAUGGAAGCCUUCAACCUUAGAGAAGGUAACAUGUUUAUCAAAAUUGUGGGGUCAAAUGUGUCCACAAGGUUAUUAGACAACGUUGAGACACUAGUGCGACGUCUUAUGCUAUGCACUCCCCCAAGAAAAAGCUUGUCUGCUCGAUGCCAUACAAAACGUUGCAUCAGUAACAUCGCAACGUUGUAUCGAUUUCCUUGAAGAAAAGGUACUUUUUCAACUGGAUGUUAUAUGGUGAAAAUUUAAAUUCGAUGAGUGAUUAUUUUUGUGUAUGUAUUCAUUAUUUGGUGCUUCAAAAUAAGAAUAGCAAUGACACUUUUUUAGAGAUAUUUGUAUCGUGAGAGAGGAGCUUAGUGGAUUAGAGGUAACUCAAAGCUCUACCCAUACCUAAUCUCAGUCUCGAGAAGAAGAUUAGAUGUAGUCCCAAGUUUGAACUGAACCAAUAAAAACUUUAAGAAAGAUUUGCUUCGAACUCCGAAAGGAAAAUCAUUUAGAUCGUAUU
Non-coding RNA from Cucurbita pepo subsp. pepo (vegetable marrow), 813 nucleotides. NCBI's taxonomy places the organism in Eukaryota, Viridiplantae, Streptophyta, Magnoliopsida, Cucurbitales, Cucurbitaceae. The record is from RefSeq and is a predicted model, not a curated record.